Molecule: microRNA precursor, 146 nt
Filed under: Vigna angularis (adzuki bean)
Lineage: Eukaryota; Viridiplantae; Streptophyta; Magnoliopsida; Fabales; Fabaceae
Description: pre miRNA MIR530
Source: RNAcentral
ACCGGCUUGUAAGGUGAGGUUUGCACCUCAAUUAUAUAUUAUCAUUUGGCCUUAUCUCUAGUCGAUGUGGGACUUCCAACAUCGACUAGAGAUAAGGCCAAAUGAUAAUAUAUAAUUGAGGUGCAAACCUCACCUUACAAGCCGGU